Molecule: ribosomal RNA, 521 nt
Filed under: Ocypode ceratophthalmus
Lineage: Eukaryota; Metazoa; Arthropoda; Malacostraca; Decapoda; Ocypodidae
Description: partial 16S ribosomal RNA
Rfam family: Bacterial large subunit ribosomal RNA
Source: RNAcentral
ACAUGUCUGUUUGAAGGUAUAAGGAGUCUGAUCUGCCCACUGAAAUAUUUAAGGGCCGCGGUAAUCUGACCGUGCAAAGGUAGCAUAAUCGUUAGUUUUUUAAUUGGAAUCUUGUAUGAAUGAUUGGACAAGGGGGGUACUGUCUCUGUGUUUUUUUGAAUUUAACUUUUAAGUGAAAAGGCUUAAAUGAUUUAAAAAGACGAUAAGACCCUAUAAAGCUUAAUAAGUUAAAUUAGUUGACUGAAUAAAUAAAUAAUAGUUAAUUAAUUAAUCAUAUUUUGUUGGGGCGACAAUGGUAAAAUGUUUCAACUACUAAAUUUAUGACAGAUAUUAAUGAAUACAGUAUAAAUGAUCCUAGGAUAAGAUUUAAAGAUGAAGUUACUUUAGGGAUAACAGCGUUAUUUUUUUUGAGAGUUCUUAUCGAAAAAAAAGUUUGCGACCUCGAUGUUGAAUUAAAAUGUCUAUUCAAUUGCAGAAGUUGAAAUAGUAGGUCUGUUCGACCUUUAAAAUUUUACGUGAUC